RNAcentral lists this transfer RNA (73 nucleotides) under Bacteroidetes bacterium GWB2_41_8. RNAcentral's name for it is "tRNA-Gln". It matches the Rfam family "tRNA". Rfam says of the family: Transfer RNA (tRNA) molecules are approximately 80 nucleotides in length. Their secondary structure includes four short double-helical elements and three loops (D, anti-codon, and T loops). The record is from RNAcentral. RNAcentral also lists the same sequence under 4 other names. Lineage: Bacteria; Pseudomonadati; Bacteroidota.
UGUCCUGUGGUGUAAUUGGCAACACGUCUGAUUCUGGAUCAGAAGAGUUUAGGUUCGAGACCUAACAGGACAA